AUGAACGCUGGCGGCGUGCCUAAUACAUGCAAGUCGAGCGAACAGACGAGGAGCUUGCUCCUCUGACGUUAGCGGCGGACGGGUGAGUAACACGUGGAUAACCUACCUAUAAGACUGGGAUAACUUCGGGAAACCGGAGCUAAUACCGGAUAAUAUAUUGAACCGCAUGGUUCAAUAGUGAAAGACGGUUUUGCUGUUACUUAUAGAUGGAUCCGCGCCGCAUUAGCUAGUUGGUAAGGUAACGGCUUACCAAGGCAACGAUGCGUAGCCGACCUGAGAGGGUGAUCGGCCACACUGGAACUGAGACACGGUCCAGACUCCUACGGGAGGCAGCAGUAGGGAAUCUUCCGCAAUGGGCGAAAGCCUGACGGAGCAACGCCGCGUGAGUGAUGAAGGUCUUCGGAUCGUAAAACUCUGUUAUUAGGGAAGAACAAAUGUGUAAGUAACUAUGCACGUCUUGACGGUACCUAAUCAGAAAGCCACGGCUAACUACGUG
RNAcentral lists this ribosomal RNA (496 nucleotides) under uncultured bacterium. RNAcentral's name for it is "partial 16S ribosomal RNA". It matches the Rfam family "Bacterial small subunit ribosomal RNA", at positions 29 to 507 of the family's 1533-position model. The record is from RNAcentral.